CACAGUCGAGGAAAAGAGAGAGAGAGAGAGAGAGAGAGAGAGAGAGAGAGAGAGAGAGAGAGAGAGAGGAGAGACACAAUAAAGCAUUUAUAUAUGGAUGGUUCAUGGUGGGGAAGAGGGAGAGAGGAUUCAGUCACGAGGCUUUUCCCUUUCUUCCCUAAAAACAUGCAUGUUUUGCCUCGUGCCCAUCUCUUUCAAUUUCUCUCUGUCCCUCUCUUUCUCUCUCCAUCUAUAUGUCCCAUAUAUAUAUAUAUAUAUAUAUAUGAAGCUUCAGGGUUCUUCAUCAUCGAAAGGAUUUUCCCAACAGAUUCAAUUUGCCUACUAUGCUGGUUUGAGAGAUUGAAGCUGCCAGCAUGAUCUGGUGAUUGAUGAACCUGCCUAGCUCUCUAUUGAUUCUUCAGAAAAACCAUAUAUAUGUAUAUAGUGUGCAUACAAUGAUGGGGGACCCAAAAUUGGUACAUGUUUAUUUAUUUAUUUUUUUGUUUAUUUGUUUUUAGAUCUUGGUUUUAUGAUUGUGAAAAUUAGAUGGGUUUUUGGAGAUGUGGGUUUUUGUGAGUAGUAAAGCUAAUGGCCGGGAAAAAAAAAAAGAAAAAGAAAAAAAAAAGAUAAGAAAAAAAAAAGGAAAAAAAAAGAAAGGAAAAUAGGGGAAAAGUAUUAGAAUCCUCAUUUAGGAUUAGGAGCCUAUAGUUUCUAUAGUAUUCUCCCUUGGCUAUCAGGUCAUCUUGCAGCUUCAAUCACUCAAUCACCAACAAUUAAAUACAAUUCUUCAAUAUUCUGGUCUCUGAGAGAUACAGGUACACACGCAUCUGCCCCUCACAAAUGAAAGGAUAUUGAUGGACAACUCUCUCAGGUAGAGCAAGGAAAACUACUUGCCCUUCAACAGAAAGUGCAUUAUCCCCUAACAAAAUUAAAUAACGGCGACGAUGAUUGCACAGCCAACCUCGGAAAAUAAAGCCUCCAGCACCCCUUCUGGUGUUCAUGUUGAAAGUGGUGAAGAUUGUUUCUGUCUAUUUUUGUUGUAUUAAUAUUGGAAAGAAUGGGAAUAAUUAUGUAUGAUGCUAAUUAGUAAUUAAUCUUCCCACAUAUUUAUAUCUUA
This is a long non-coding RNA of Ziziphus jujuba (common jujube), 1096 nucleotides long. RefSeq lists it as uncharacterized. The record is from RefSeq and is a predicted model, not a curated record. The transcript has 3 exons. NCBI's taxonomy places the organism in Eukaryota, Viridiplantae, Streptophyta, Magnoliopsida, Rosales, Rhamnaceae.